RNAcentral lists this ribosomal RNA (253 nucleotides) under uncultured bacterium. RNAcentral describes it as "partial 16S ribosomal RNA". It matches the Rfam family "Bacterial small subunit ribosomal RNA", at positions 524 to 776 of the family's 1533-position model. The record is from RNAcentral.
GACGUAGGGAGCGAGCGUUGUCCGGAUUCAUUGGGCGUAAAGCGCGCGUAGGCGGCCUCGCAAGUCGGUUGUGAAAUCCCGGGGCUCAACCCCGGGACUGCGUCCGAUACUGCGAGGCUGGAGGUAGGUAGGGGAGAUCGGAAUUCCUGGUGUAGCGGUGAAAUGCGCAGAUAUCAGGAGGAACACCCGUAGCGAAGGCGGCACUCUGGGCCGGAACUGACGCUGAGGAGCGAAAGCGUGGGGAGCAAACAGG